GAGGAAGGCGAUAAGGUUAAUAACCUUGUCGAUUGACGUUACCCGCAGAAGAAGCACCGGCUAACUCCGUGCCAGCAGCCGCGGUAAUACGGAGGGUGCAAGCGUUAAUCGGAAUUACUGGGCGUAAAGCGCACGCAGGCGGUCUGUCAAGUCGGAUGUGAAAUCCCCGGGCUCAACCUGGGAACUGCAUUCGAAACUGGCAGGCUAGAGUCUUGUAGAGGGGGGUAGAAUUCCAGGUGUAGCGGUGAAAUGCGUAGAGAUCUGGAGGAAUACCGAUGGCGAAGGCAGCCCCC
This 293-nucleotide ribosomal RNA is filed under the name Acinetobacter baumannii. RNAcentral describes it as "partial 16S ribosomal RNA". It matches the Rfam family "Bacterial small subunit ribosomal RNA", at positions 444 to 729 of the family's 1533-position model. The record is from RNAcentral. Lineage: Bacteria; Pseudomonadati; Pseudomonadota; Gammaproteobacteria; Moraxellales; Moraxellaceae.